Molecule: small RNA, 150 nt
Filed under: pig gut metagenome
Description: Clostridiales-1 RNA
Rfam family: Clostridiales-1 RNA
Source: RNAcentral
GAUACCAGGGGCAAAAGGUCAUAUUUUCAUGCUAGCAUGGAAAAAUAUGACUUUGGGACCCGCAAAACAUGAGAAAGUAGCCCGAUUAGGGCGGAUUUCGAAUGUUUUAGGAUUGCGAGAGCACAAAGUGCGUAGCAAUCUGUUGGUAUC